CCCUUAGAUGUUCUGGGCCGCACGCGCGCUACACUGACGAAGUCAGCGAGCAUGUCCUACGCCGACAGGUGCGGGGAAUCUUGUCAAACUUCGUCGUGAUGGGGAUUGAUUAUUGAAAUUCUUUAUCAUCAACGAGGAAUUCCUAGUAAGCGCAAGUCAGCAGCUUGCGUUGAUUACGUCCCUGCCCUUUGUACACACCGCCCGUCGCUACUACCGAUUGAAUGGUUUAGUGAGAUCUUCGGAUUGGCGCCACUGCGGCUCAGCAAUGGGCUCGGUGGAUGCCGAAAAGUUGAUCAAACUUGAUCAUUUAGAGGAAGUAAAAGUCGUAACA
This 331-nucleotide ribosomal RNA is filed under the name uncultured eukaryote. RNAcentral's name for it is "partial 18S ribosomal RNA". It matches the Rfam family "Eukaryotic small subunit ribosomal RNA", at positions 1470 to 1796 of the family's 1831-position model. The record is from RNAcentral.